RNAcentral lists this transfer RNA (23 nucleotides) under Flaveria trinervia. RNAcentral describes it as "partial tRNA-His". The record is from RNAcentral. Lineage: Eukaryota; Viridiplantae; Streptophyta; Magnoliopsida; Asterales; Asteraceae. RNAcentral also lists the same sequence under 33 other names.
CAAGGCAGUGGAUUUGUGAAUCC